UCACUACCAUAUUAUUGCAAGUUGAGGUAGGAUCCCUACACAAAGUUGACGUCAAGUGAAUUUAGUUUUCAAUUAAACAUGUUAUUCGUUAUAAUUGCAUGAAGUAUAUGAAGUGUCUUUAGAGUUCUUCUCUUAAAGUUUUGAUGAAAGGAAGGUUUAUAUAUGUUUAAACUGAUGGUCGCAGAGGUUCAUCAAAACCCUAGAUAGAUCGUUUGAUUAUCGAUUUACUUAUUUAUGAAGGCAACAUGUAAGAAUGCAAAAUUAAUUUAUGAUUAUUAUGUUCAUAUAGCACGUGUAGCCUACUCAGUAUUUUUUUUGAGAUGCUCACUCCUUUUUAACCCCUUUCAGAAUAAUCGAGAUCUAGCAGUGGAUUGGCAUGAAUGGCACGUACUAUUUUUAGAGGAAUUUAUUCUUAUGUUUUAGAUUGCCACUAUUUUUUUAUUUUAUUUUUUACAUUCUGCUAUGGUCGAUAAAUUUGGGAUGUUUUAAAUUAGUGUUUCUUGAAAUCUUGAAAACUGAAUUGAUGAUGAAAUUACUUAAUAUUUUUUUCUUAUGGAUUUUUAAUUCAGUUCUUUUGAGUUACACUACUGGAAACUAAAUAUUUCCAGUUUCUACCUAAGUUUAAAAAUUCAGCCAGACCAAAAUACUUGGAAUUUUGAGGUGAUUCCAAUUGGAAAAGAUAUCCAUAUGAGUUAUCUCUCUCUCUAACUUGGAAUCAGGAAUUUUGGAUCUAUAAAAUUCAAGUUAUGAGCAUUUUCCCAAGAGCUGUCAGAUUGUACCCGGGAACAAAUAGCCCUGGUUUAGAAAUUUUUUUGACCAAUCUAUUGAUUGAAUUUAUCUAUGAAAUUUUAACCUAUGAUUCCCUCACGUGUAUGAUGUCUACAGUUAAAAUUUUGUAAAUUUUGGACUUCAUUUAUUUGUCGAACUAG
RNAcentral lists this long non-coding RNA (929 nucleotides) under Olea europaea subsp. europaea. The record is from RNAcentral. Lineage: Eukaryota; Viridiplantae; Streptophyta; Magnoliopsida; Lamiales; Oleaceae.